AUGUGGCCCGGCCCUACAGGGGCCCACAACAGCACUCUAGGAACGCGGGAGGAUAACGGACUUCCAAACGCGGUUGAGCUGGACCGGACCGGAAGGGGCCGCUGGGGCUGGACGGGCACAGCACGGCCGCAUGACCUGACAAGGGUGUUGUACCAGGGAAGCGGAGUCCUGAUGGAGCAAGGCACCAGCGCCUCACCUCCGUGGCUGUGGGUUCUCUGUGCCUUGAAGAAACAGUUAAGUCAAGACGCAUAGGCCACGCGAAAGUCUAGGUAGAGUUUAUUAUAAAGUAGAUGCAGAGAGAGUUAUGCCUUCAAGUGAGAAGGUGGCAGUGCCACGAAGGCCCCUGCUCUGAGAGGGAGUUUAAAUACCUUUUUAUGCACACAAAAGUUACUCCUGGGGUUCAGGGAACUAACAUAAUUCUGACGUUAUCAACAUUUUACUUAGAAGUUACUCUGGAAGUGUAGAAUGUCUUGUCCUUUUAGAUGGUCAGUGUUUCUAUGUCAUUUAGCACCUUGCAGAUCUUCUGGGGAGCACCUAUAUUUAGUUUAAAAUGAUAUUUUUAGUUGCAGUUCCUACAAGGCCUCUCUGGUCCACAAAAGGCCUUCACUUUUUGAUAAGGAACUGAUAAUCUUUUAGAGAAGAUGAAACAGUGUUUCCUCAAGGCAGGGGAGCCUUUACAGACCAUCUCCUUUCCUGAUAUCCUGCUGCGUGCCUUGUGUGGGAGUUUGAUGGCCAGGUGGCCAGGCAUCAGAAGGAAUGUGCAGUGUGUAACCUUAAAAUGUCUUUAGGUGUGAGACCUAACAAAUGAUUAUAAAUGUAUGCCACAUUGAUGGCUUUCUUUACUUAACCAGCAGUGUGUGCGAUUUUGGGUCUUUGUCCCUCAGGCCCACUAAUGUCUAACUUUGUCCCUUAUAUUUUGCUCCCUAUUCCUGCUGUUACAAGUGAAUAUGAAGAAACCACCUCUCUAGUAAUUUACCAUCCUCUGGAGAGAAAGCACAGGGCCUGAGGUGCUUGGCUGCUCAGGCACUGGGUUCUUCAGGGAGUAUGUCUUUCCAUCAGCCAUGCUAACUUUGUGCUCCAGCUGGUGCUCUGGCCCGACUCAGCUGAGGGUGCAGGACAGGGUGCUUUCGGGAUGGGUGGACCUACUCUGAAAAGGCCUUUGCUAAGUGGGAAAGGUUGGUGUCCUGGGGGAAGAGGCAACAUUUUCAAAAGGCUUAGAGUGCAGUGCCACCAGCACCUCAGGACACGGGUAGGGGUUUAGUUUGGCUGUGGAUUGAGGUCAAGUUGGAGGGAGGGGGUGGCAGGAAAAGAGCUUGGAGCCCCGGGCUGGACCUGGAUCAUCUGGGAUCUCCUAGAGGAAAGGCAGGGAAGGGUUUUGACUUUAUCCCAGGGCACUGGAAAGCUAGCCCGGGUAAAGGCACACACUGGCAUUUUAACACUUGGUGGGGUGUGUUUGAGAAACAAGGGAAGGCCAGAGAGCUGGAGCCCUGAGAGCACAGGAGAGGAGGCUUGGAGGAGUGGAGAAACGCUGAGGCUGGAUGGGGCUCACUGUUGGGUCUGACUGCAGCUUCUGAAGAACUUUCCAAGUAGGAUACUAGCUGUAAGUUUUGGGAGGGCAGGGGCUUUGCAAUUUUUGUUCCUUGUUAUAACCUCAGUACCUGGCACAUGCUGGGCAUCUAGUAAGUGAUCUACCUACUAAGUGUUGAAUGAAUUGUGGCUUCCUCUUGCUUAAACCCUUAUGUUUUAUGUUUUACUGCAGCUGUUGGGGUAAAGUAUAAUUCUUUUUUUUUUUUUUUUUUUUUU
Long non-coding RNA from Fukomys damarensis (Damara mole-rat), 1803 nucleotides. NCBI's taxonomy places the organism in Eukaryota, Metazoa, Chordata, Mammalia, Rodentia, Bathyergidae. The record is from Ensembl.